CAUGCAUGGUAAGUAUUAAAUUUAAUAACACGUUUGACUAUUUUAAUUAUAGAAUGAUUAUAUUUUAGAAAGAACAAAUUUUGGAAAGAAUUUUAUGAAUGGAAACUUAUAAGAAUAAUUACGUGGAAGAUUAUGUAAACUAAUGCGCACGAUUGAAUUCAGAUUAAAUUAAGUGCGUGUUUUCUUGCAUUGGUUGUAAUUUUUUACAGUGCAGGCUUUGAAAAAAAUACAUCAGAUUUGGCAUAUAAUGAUUUCAAUGGUUGCAUUUAUGAUGUAUUUCACUCAAGAAGAAACGGGAUGCUUGGAUGAAUAAACGGAAAUGGAAAAGUACGAGUUGACAGAGGAUUGAUCCAAUUAAUAAAUUUAGACUAAGAAUUAUAAACCACACUAAUAGCUUCUGAUUUGGAUGGUAAAAAAGUGUUCUUUUAUGUUCAGACCAUUCGUCUCUAAACUGAUGACAUAUCUGCUUGGUGUUCUUUUAUGUUCAGACCAUUCAUCUCUAAACUGAUGACAUAUCUGCUUGCAUUUCAAAAUUAUUUUUAUUAUGGAACUUACGGGUCAUUUGAAAUUCGAGCUUGAAAAUAUAAAAAAAGAAUUCUACUGUAAUAGGCAGGAAUUGCGUUUUACUAUUAUUGCGACUGCAUGUAAAGCUAGG
Molecule: long non-coding RNA, 655 nt
Filed under: Salvia miltiorrhiza (redroot sage)
Lineage: Eukaryota; Viridiplantae; Streptophyta; Magnoliopsida; Lamiales; Lamiaceae
Description: long non-coding RNA (SMIL_LNC003554)
Source: RNAcentral